This 391-nucleotide ribosomal RNA is filed under the name uncultured microorganism. Its description in RNAcentral is "bacterial SSU rRNA". It matches the Rfam family "Archaeal small subunit ribosomal RNA", at positions 330 to 720 of the family's 1478-position model. The record is from RNAcentral.
GUGCAGCAGGCGCGAAACCUCCGCAAUGCGGGAAACCGUGACGGGGUCACCCCGAGCGCCGCCCGAUGAGGGUGGCUUUUCCCCGGUCUAAAAAGCCGGGGGCAAUAAGCGGGGGGCAAGUCUGGUGUCAGCCGCCGCGGUAAUACCAGCCCCGCGAGUGGUCGGGACGUUUAUUGGGCCUAAAGCGUCCGUAGCCGGCUCGGUAAGUCCCUCCUUAAAUCCACGGGCUCAACCCGUGGGCUGGGAGGGAUACUGCCGGGCUAGGGGGCGGGAGAGGCCGAGGGGUACUCCCGGGGUAGGGGCCGAAAUCCGUUAAUCCCGGGAGGACCACCAGUGGCGAAGGCGCUCGGCUGGAACGCGCCCGACGGUGAGGGACGAAAGCUGGGGGAGC